RNAcentral lists this unclassified non-coding RNA (3330 nucleotides) under Anneissia japonica. RNAcentral describes it as "serine/threonine-protein kinase PRP4 homolog, transcript variant X3". The record is from RNAcentral. Lineage: Eukaryota; Metazoa; Echinodermata; Crinoidea; Comatulida; Comatulidae.
UGAUAUUGACUUACCUGAAGAAGCCGAAAAACAAGGUGAUACCCCAGAUUGUAGUUCAUCAAAGCAUAAACGUAGCCACAAGAAGAAGCGCAAACAUAAACACAAGCAUAAACACAAACACAAAAGUACCCGUAAUGAAGGCUCUGAUGAUCAACGCCACAAGCAUCGACAUAAACACAAGAAACGUCGUAGCAGGCGGGAGCAUACAGAUGAAGAGAAGUCAUCAGUAUCUGAUCAAGAAGUUGAUAAUAGGCAGACCAUUAAGAACAAUGAUUCCGUAGAUGAUGCUGCCUAUUUAGAUGAACUGGAGAGACAAAAAGAAUUACUGACAGCAGAAUUGGCUGGUGAUUUAGGAUACAAUCCCAAUGAUGUCACUGUCAAAUCUGCAAUUUCUCUAAUAGCUCAAGGUUACCGUUCUUCUGGUGAGGAAGAAGAGGAAGGUCAAGUGAAUGAAGUAGAUGAAUCUGAUCGCCAUUCUGAACAGGAAACUCCACUACCUCAGCAAAUGCUUGUCGACGUUUCAAUAGAAUCUUCUGAAGAAGAAGUUAAAAUCUCUAAGCAUUCAAAAUCACAUUCCCGUAAAAAAAGCCGCUCACCUCGUGAGAAAAAAAAACGAAAGAGGAGCAAGUCUCCAAAAACACAUAGCUCAAAACGAACUUCCUCUCGCGCAGAUGAGAGAAUAGAUGAAAAGUCUUUAUUAUCUAGAAAAAAGAGUGGCUCUUUGGAUAGAUUUAGAGAUUAUGAAUCAUCAAAGAGAGACAGAGAAAGCCAACGAAAAUCCUCCCCAAAGAGCCGUGAUUCACCAGUAAGGAAUCGAGUAUCACAUAGAGAGAAACAAUCGCCAGACAAACGAAGGCAUUCGCCAGAGAGGAGACGGCCCUCAGCAGAUAAAAGGGCGUCACCUGAUCGUAGGAGGCUAUCACCAGAUAAGAAAAGGGAAUCGCCAGAUAUUAGGAGGGAAUCACCUAUAAGAAGACGAGACACUCCAGAUAGAAUGAAAACAUCUUUAGAGCGUAAGCCCUUUAGAACACACGAUUAUGAAGAAUUACGACGUCCUAAAUCACCACCCAGAAAAGAAAGACGUAGGAGUCGGUCUCCACCAUUUUCUGGAAGGAGGAGAAGCAAAUCCCCUAAUUCUAGAAGAAUACUAUCAUUGGAAAGUUUAAGAGGAAGAACACCUCCCAGGAGACGAUCCCCACCAGAGCGGUUUGAUCGUGCAAUGCAUCGCAGACACAGGUCACCUUAUCGGAGACAUGGUAGAUACUCAUCUGAAGACCGAAGAGAAAGGAGAAAACGUAGUUACUCUCCGAAGGAAGAUAAAUUCAAAGGAAGUCUUUCAGAGGGACAGUCUUUACAGAAGAAUGCUUCAUCUGAGGACGAAAUUGAAGAUGUUGAUAUUGAGGAGAUGGAAGAUGAAGAGACGUUGAUUGAAAAGAGGCGACUUCAAAGACAACAGUUAUUACAGAAACUUGGCGGUGGUAUAAGUGCAGAUGUGAGCAGGGAGGGUAGUGUAGCUGAAAGUGAAAUAAAUAGCGACGUCAAUUCGCAAUCUGGAUCUCGCUCGCCCUCUCCAGAGAGUAAAGUUGAGAGCCGUGCUGUGACUUCUAGUAGUGACACAGACAGUGAUUCAUCAGUUGAUGAAGAAACUACAGAAACUCUUGACAAGGAAGAACUUGAUUUUGAGAAAUCCAUUGACCAAAAACGAAGCAAUAUUGUUAUUGAACCUGCUCAAGAUGGUGAAACUAAGACCAAACCAAAUGGCUUUGAUAUGUUCAGUGAAAUGGAUAUGUUUAGUGAUAAGUUUAAUAGUCCUACAAUCAUAGAAGGUAUUGGACAGUAUCAUCAAGAAAAUCCAAAUCUGACAGAUAAUUGGGAUGAUGCAGAAGGCUACUACCGUGUUCGUAUAGGUGAAACAUUGGAUAAACGCUAUCAAGUAUACGGUUACACCGGUCAAGGUGUGUUUAGUAACGUGGUCAGGGCUCGCGAUGUUGCACGGGGACAGCUUGAAGUGGCCAUUAAAAUCAUUCGUAACAAUGAAUUGAUGCACAAGACAGGACUAAAAGAGCUUGAAUACCUCAAGAGGUUGAAUGAUACUGACAGAGAGGAUAAAUAUCAUUGUCUACGUCUAUUUAGACAUUUUUUUCAUAAAAACCAUCUUUGCCUUGUUUUUGAAUCUUUAAGUUUGAAUCUGCGUGAGAUAUUGAAGCGGUAUGGGCAAGGUGUUGGCCUGCAUGUGAAAGCUGUUCGAUCCUACACUCAUCAACUGUUCCUUGCCCUCAAGCUGUUAAAAAAGUGCAACGUUCUGCAUGCAGAUAUUAAACCAGACAACAUAUUGGUAAAUGAUUCUAAAUCUGUGUUAAAAUUGUGUGAUUUUGGUUCUGCAUCCCAUGUUGCUGAGGCUGACAUAACUCCUUAUUUGGUCAGUAGGUUCUACAGAGCCCCAGAAAUCAUUAUUGGUAUGAAGUAUGACUAUGCUAUUGAUCUAUGGAGCACAGCAUGUACAAUCUAUGAACUAUACACCGGCAAGAUCAUGUUCCCAGGGAAGACCAACAACCACAUGUUGAAGUUGUUCAUGGAUGUUAAAGGCAAAAUGCCAAAUAAGAUCAUCCGCAAAGGCUUCCUCAAAGAUAAUCAUUUUGAUAGUAACUGUAACUUCAAGUUUAUUGAGAUAGACAAAAUCACAGAACGGGAAAAAGUAACAGUUAUGUCUACUAGUAAUCCAACGAAAGAUCUAAUGGCAGAUUUAAUUGGAUACCAACGCCUACCAGAAUCACAACUUCGAAAAGUCAUCCAAUUAAAGGACCUGUUAGAUAAGAGUCUGAUGCUAGACCCAUCCAAGCGAAUCUCAUUGAGUGAUGCUUUACGCCAUCCAUUCCUACAGGAGAAGAUAUAAAAAGAGAGAUAGACUUUCCCUUGGUAAUUACUUUGGUAAUAAGUUAUCAUCUGGGAUUGUUUCUGUUCUGUCCAAUGACAAGCAUCAUUAAGUUUAAUUCAUCAGAAGUAUUGAGUCAUAAUCUGGUGUAACCUGGAUAUCUGCAAUCAGGACAAGCCAUUUGUCGGUAGCAGCAACCGGCUUCUCAUCGUGGAACCCGCCAUGAGGAAAAAAGCUCAGUACACAGUUAACGUCGAGAUGGCGGAUGUGACGAUUUCGACAGAAAUUUUACAGAUAAGUGUUAAAUAUGAUGAUGGUUAGCUCAGUAUCUAAUAAGUGAACAUGAGUCCUUUUCAACUUAUAAUAUAUUAAGAAAGGAAUACUGUAGAGCCAGAGAUGUGUACAAAAAUCUAAUGUAGUUUAAUGCAAGUACAUAAUUAAAGGUGCUUGAAACCAUA